AAGUCCGCCAGCUUCUUCUCGACUGUAUUCAUUUUGGGGUUUUUUUAUGUUUGUUUACUUCAUCGCGAAGUCCUUUCGUCGGCAGACAACGAGCGAGGUUCGUCGUCCUCGAAGAAGGAAAUAGUUAGCAGUCCAUUACACUGAGUUUAUGAUCAUCUGGUUUGGGAUAACAUAUCACAAUGACUUUUCUUGGCCCAGGCCACGACGGCGACUUGGGACGUCGUCUCUGCUGGAGGCAGUCAAAGUGUCACCUGGAGGAUCCCUCGUGUGGGACAGGACAGAUUACAGGGACAGCACAAUGGAUAACACCAAUUACAAGGACAUCAGUUAUUAUCACAGGGAUGUCACAAGUGAUGGCACACCCAGUUGCAGUGACAAUUACAGUACAACUGACUAGACUACUUACACAGGGUCUACAAGAGGUGGCAAUCUGUUAUUACUGGGAUCCAGAAAGUCAAGACACCUUCAUUUAAUGGGAAAACACAAAUUAUAUAGACAGCACAAGCGAUACUUAACAGUUUUAUUCCAUUCUGACUCACAAACAGCGUUGUCGUCUUGUUGCUGACAGAGAAACAACUUAGGACAAACAGUCACAGCCUUUAUUUAAAAACUGAUGGUGCCUCCUUUUUCAUGUUUAUUGUGCAGACAUCAUAGUAGAUCUCU
Long non-coding RNA from Dicentrarchus labrax (European seabass), 663 nucleotides. RefSeq lists it as uncharacterized. Lineage: Eukaryota; Metazoa; Chordata; Actinopteri; Moronidae. The record is from RefSeq and is a predicted model, not a curated record. The transcript has 3 exons.